Molecule: RNA transcript, 556 nt
Organism: Drosophila pseudoobscura
Lineage: Eukaryota; Metazoa; Arthropoda; Insecta; Diptera; Drosophilidae
Exons: 4
Source: RefSeq, a predicted model, not a curated record
CGGUGACAUUUCGUUCUCUUUUCUUUCAUUGUCAGAUUGAAAAUUUCUUGAUUGAAUAAUUGUAUUAAAUUUAGUUUGACUCGUGAAAUCAAAAUGUGUUACGAAAGCAAAGAAAAAAAUGCAUAUUUCGUCGCAUAUUUUGCGCUAACCUAUUCGUUUGUGGACAUGAUUUUUCAAUUCAUAAAACAAUCUGAACAGUGGUUUUUGGUGAUUUACAUUGUGACCAGUUGUGUGGUUAUCCUAGCCGCCAUUGUUCUGAUCGUAGGAAUUCAUUAUGCAAGAAAAGAAGUUUCUUGUGAUGGUAUGGAUCGUGGUAGCGAUCGUGUGCGGAGUCAUUUUUAUCGCUGCAUACAUCAUACUUCUAACGAAACUUUCUGAAACGGCUGACAUUGUUAAGACCUCAGUGCAAAUUUCCUUCCGCCUCGUGCUUUUUUCACUUUGGCUUUGGAUAUCAAUUGUAUACUAUCGGACGCUCUGACGAUACCGAUUAUGAUUAGGAAUGAAAUUUUUGUGAAUUUUUGUAUUUAAUAAAUUAUGAAGUGCUCUUUCGUCUGAA